UCGCAGUGAGGCUGCUAAUGUUUGACUGACACAUAAAUUUCGAUCUCAAUGAGCUCUUAUAGUGGAUGUUGGUGAUAAUUGAUCUACUGUAAGAAUAGGGUACGCAUCAAAACAGGAUCUAUUGACCUUAAUAGAGAGGAGUAGUCCUAUAAAAUUUGAAAGACUAAGUCCAAGAAUCUAUGGUCAUAGUAUUGUGAUUGAUGGAAAAGAGUUUUCAUAGAAGUCACAACUAGAUUUGAACUAAUCGAAUCUAUCAUAUGAUUGAUAUUGAGGGUUGAUGAUUUAUCCAUGACCUGCCAUCUAGUCAGAACUCAUGGU
This 318-nucleotide long non-coding RNA is filed under the name Elaeis guineensis (African oil palm). Its description in RNAcentral is "long non-coding RNA (EGUI_LNC067458)". Lineage: Eukaryota; Viridiplantae; Streptophyta; Magnoliopsida; Arecales; Arecaceae. The record is from RNAcentral.